RNAcentral lists this microRNA (23 nucleotides) under Schmidtea mediterranea. RNAcentral describes it as "sme-miR-61a-3p". Its record names the gene sme-miR-61a-3p. Lineage: Eukaryota; Metazoa; Platyhelminthes; Tricladida; Dugesiidae. The record is from miRBase by way of RNAcentral.
UGACUAGAAAGUUCACUUACUGU